RNAcentral lists this small RNA (153 nucleotides) under Beijerinckia indica subsp. indica ATCC 9039. RNAcentral describes it as "Alphaproteobacterial sRNA ar45". It matches the Rfam family "Alphaproteobacterial sRNA ar45". The record is from Rfam by way of RNAcentral. Lineage: Bacteria; Pseudomonadati; Pseudomonadota; Alphaproteobacteria; Hyphomicrobiales; Beijerinckiaceae.
GCCCAAAUCGCACGUGCCUGUGGUCGUGGUCGAUUGGUGGGGAUCCGGACAAGAGGCCGGUUAACCACCUUAAAAGGAUCGACAGCCGGAGGCGAACCGGCGAACCCCGCCAAACGGGGAACGCGACUUAAAGCAACGACGGACCGGGCUUUU